RNAcentral lists this long non-coding RNA (290 nucleotides) under Vigna radiata. RNAcentral describes it as "long non-coding RNA (VRAD_LNC007353)". The record is from RNAcentral. Lineage: Eukaryota; Viridiplantae; Streptophyta; Magnoliopsida; Fabales; Fabaceae.
UUUUAGGUUUUUUUCAUGUUGUCACAACUUUAACAAAAUUUUAAAGUCUAACAACAAAUUGUUCAUUGUUUACAAAGAUAGUAAUAGGAUAAGAAGUACUUUGAGGCUUGUUGUCGAACAAAUGAACUUCUCAAUGACUUUACUUUUAUAAAAAUUUGAGUGAUAAAAUCCUUAUACAUUUUCGAUGAAAUUUUGUUUCUCAUCCCCUUUCCGUUUAUGUUUUCAUAUUUUCUACUUGCAUCACCAUAACAUUAUCCCCACCAAUUACGUGUAGGGAUGCUACCUCGCCA